UUUUGCAGAAGAGGAGCACUACCCAGGUAGGUAAAUUGUGGAGCCGCAACUCCAAGACAAUUUACUAAGGGGGAGUAGUGCCGAGGUAGGUCAAGAUUGUGGUUUUGAUCUGUCGGUUGACUUGGGUUGAAUCCCAUCAACUGUCAUCAGCGCUGACUGAUGAUGAGCUUCUGAGGUA
Molecule: non-coding RNA, 178 nt
Filed under: Vibrio hepatarius
Lineage: Bacteria; Pseudomonadati; Pseudomonadota; Gammaproteobacteria; Vibrionales; Vibrionaceae
Description: Lysine sequence
Rfam family: Lysine riboswitch aptamer
About the family: Riboswitches are metabolite binding domains within certain messenger RNAs that serve as precision sensors for their corresponding targets. Allosteric rearrangement of mRNA structure is mediated by ligand binding, and this results in modulation of gene expression.
Source: RNAcentral